Molecule: long non-coding RNA, 1139 nt
Organism: Rhipicephalus sanguineus (brown dog tick)
Lineage: Eukaryota; Metazoa; Arthropoda; Arachnida; Ixodida; Ixodidae
Exons: 4
Source: RefSeq, a predicted model, not a curated record
ACGAGAUGCAAUCCGGCAGAUGACCAAUAGGCUGCAAGAGGCUGAGGCCCGGGCUGAGUUUGCCGAGAGGUCAGUGCAGAAGCUGCAGAAGGAAGUGGACAGACUGGAAGACGAGCUGCUUGUGGAGCGCGAGAAGAACCACAUGCUCCAGGAAGAGGUGGAGACCACCCUGAAGGACCUGCAGUCCAUGUGACCGGGCUCUCCGGCGCCCCACUCUGCCUGCCACUGCUUUCUUCCCCCCUCUGUCCAGACGAGCUUGUCCAGGAGAAGGAGAAGUACAAGGCCAUCUCGGACGAGCUGGAUCAGACCUUCUCCGAACUCACUGGCUACUAAGCUCCACGCAAAGGGACUGGCGCCGCCGUUGUUUCUACCGCUGCUCUGCCAACGUUAUCACUCUCACUUCGUCGUCGUCGUUGGGGGGUUAGGCUAGGACAGCAGGGGGACAAAGAAAAAUGCCUUUUGCCCAACCAGAGAUUGGGAGACGGGGAGAGAGGGGCCUGUUGUAACCCGCCGCCUUGUCCACCCGAAUUGGCCCGAGACACCGUUGCAUUCGCCGACGGCCCUUGUCUCAUUGCAUUGUUGGACUGCAAGGUUUGGGAAGGAGCCACUGUUUUUCUUCUUUUGUCCCCUGUACUCUUGUUACGUCACGAAUAGACAGUGCCUCUCCCCUCUCGCCUUUCGUUUCAUUGACUGUUGUUCGAGACACCAACCACACAUACAGACACAGAAGAACUAGCGCUCUUCUUAUAUUUUUUUUUUCUUCAGCUCUAUGCAUUUCUUCCCCCCCACCUUUUUUUUUUUCUUUAAUUUUGGCAAGGUUGUAAGUAUUUUACAUCUUGUUUUCCUGCAGAUGAAAGGAUGUGUACUGAGUGCUCCCAUGCUUGUUUUUUUGUUUUUUUUUUUUUUAAUUGGGAUGGGAAAGCAGAGAGUGUUAAGUUUUUUGUGCCUAGGAAUUCGAGGAAAGUGUUUUUUUGACACGCUGUACUCUAGACAUGACUGGAUGCCUUCGCAGCAUUGCCUGCAUUUUGGGCACGCCAGCCAUUUCUAGAGCAAACGAGGUUGAUUGAUAAAAACCAAAACUGCCAAGCAAUUUGUAUGCCAAUAUAUCUGGUAAUAAAAGAAAACCAUAUUUAAAGGUG